Molecule: ribosomal RNA, 329 nt
Filed under: uncultured eukaryote
Lineage: Eukaryota
Description: partial 18S ribosomal RNA
Rfam family: Eukaryotic small subunit ribosomal RNA
Source: RNAcentral
CCCUUAGAUGUUCUGGGCCGCACGCGCGCUACACUGAUACGUUCAACGAGUUUACAACCUUGAUCGAUAGGUCUGGGUAAUCUUUGGAAUGCGUAUCGUGCUAGGGAUAGAUUAUUGCAAUUAUUAAUCUUGAACGAGGAAUUCCUAGUAAACGCAAGUCAUCAGCUUGCAUUGAUUACGUCCCUGCCCUUUGUACACACCGCCCGUCGCACCUACCGAUUGAAUGGUCCGGUGAAAUCUUCGGAUCUGAGAGAUGUCUGAUUAAUUUCGGACGCCUUUUGGAAAAGUUGCUUAAACCUUACCAUUUAGAGGAAGGUGAAGUCGUAACA